GACUUCUCAUAUGACUGAUUUCAGCCAGUGGUGAGAGGAGAUUUUCUUCUUGCUCCUGACAACAGCCCCUGAAUGAGUUGGGCGUAUCUGUUGUGAGCAGCAACAGGUUCCGAGCGACGGCAAAAAGGCACUAGCCAGCCUCCACCUCUGUGCCUUCCAGUUACUCUAUGAUCCCAGCUGGUCUUCACGCAUGAGGUUCUUUUCCGGUCUUUUCGCUGCUCUUCUGUGGAUCACCCUGGCUACUCCAGGCAAAGGCAUGACUCAUGACGCUGUCCGCUGCCGGAGCAAAGACGGGGUGUGCCGUUUUGACCGAUGCUAUUACAAUGAGAUCGAGAUUGCCACCUGCUAUCACCAGACAAUGAAAUGCUGCCGAGAGAGGGACUAGAAGGUCUUGAGGGUUCGCACCACUGGGACACAGACCUGAGACCUCUGACGGGCGAUGCUGCAAGAGACCCAACACAGAAGGGUGCUAAAUCACACCUCUGUAAUAAAUCACAUCACAUGCGUUGCUCCAAGGGCGUGUUCCUCUCCCCUUCCUUUCACUAUGAAGACCCCGGUGAAAGGCGGAAAUGCAAAUCAGUUUCAGGAGCCGUUUCCUGAUCACACCUUAGCCCAGCUGGAAGCCUUAUCUGCUCACAUGGCCCCUUAACCCAGUGUCUGAUGGCCACCGAAUU
Pelodiscus sinensis (Chinese soft-shelled turtle) is the source of this 674-nucleotide non-coding RNA. The record is from RefSeq and is a predicted model, not a curated record. NCBI's taxonomy places the organism in Eukaryota, Metazoa, Chordata, Testudines, Trionychidae.